UACGGGGGGGGCAAGCGUUGUUCGGAAUUACUGGGCGUAAAGCGCACGUAGGCGGCUUGGUAUGUCGGGUGUGAAAUCCCCGGGCUCAACCUGGGAACUGCAUUCGAAACUGCCUUGCUCGAGUAUGGGAGAGGGAAGUGGAAUUUCCGGUGUAGCGGUGAAAUGCUUAGAUAUGACAUAGAACACCAAUUGCGAAGGCAGCUUACUACAGGAAUAUUGACACUGAGGCACGAAAGCGUGGGGAUCAAACAGG
RNAcentral lists this ribosomal RNA (253 nucleotides) under uncultured bacterium. Its description in RNAcentral is "partial 16S ribosomal RNA". It matches the Rfam family "Bacterial small subunit ribosomal RNA", at positions 524 to 776 of the family's 1533-position model. The record is from RNAcentral.